RNAcentral lists this ribosomal RNA (855 nucleotides) under uncultured bacterium. RNAcentral's name for it is "bacterial SSU rRNA". It matches the Rfam family "Bacterial small subunit ribosomal RNA", at positions 8 to 857 of the family's 1533-position model. The record is from RNAcentral.
AGAGUUUGAUCCUGGCUCAGGAUGAACGCUAGCGGCAGGCUUAACACAUGCAAGUCGAGGGGCAGCGGCCCUGUAGCAAUACAGGGUGCCGGCGACCGGCGCAAGGGUGCGUAACGCGUGAGCAACAUGCCCGUGUCAGGGGGAUAAGCGAUGGAAACGUCGUCUAAUACCGCAUAACAACUCAGGAGGCAUCUUCUGAGUUUGAAAUAUUCAUAGGACACGGAUUGGCUCGCGAGGCAUUAGCUGGUUGGUGAGGUAACGGCUCACCAAGGCGACGAUGCCUAGGGGUUCUGAGAGGAAGGUCCCCCACACCGGAACUGAGACACGGUCCAGACUCCUACGGGAGGCAGCAGUGAGGAAUAUUGGACAAUGGUCGGAAGACUGAUCCAGCCAUGCCGCGUGAAGGCAGACGGUCCUAUGGAUUGUAAACUUCUUUUGUACGGGAACAAUAAGGGUCACGUGUGGCCCGAUGAGAGUACCGUACGAAUAAGCAUCGGCUAACUCCGUGCCAGCAGCCGCGGUAAUACGGAGGAUGCGAGCGUUAUCCGGAUUUAUUGGGUUUAAAGGGUGCGUAGGCGGAAUGGUAAGUCAGCGGUGAAACGCAGGUGCUCAACACCUGACCUGCCGUUGAAACUGUCGUUCUUGAAUGCGGAUGCUGUGGGAGGAAUGUGUGGUGUAGCGGUGAAAUGCAUAGAUAUCACACAGAACACCGAUUGCGAAGGCAUCUCACAAAUCCGUAAUUGACGCUGAGGCACGAAAGUGCGGGGAUCGAACAGGAUUAGAUACCCUGGUAGUCCGCACAGUAAACGAUGAUAACUCGCUGUCGGCGAUAGACGGUCGGCGGCCCAGCGAAAG